Molecule: ribosomal RNA, 402 nt
Filed under: uncultured prokaryote
Description: bacterial SSU rRNA
Rfam family: Bacterial small subunit ribosomal RNA
Source: RNAcentral
UGGGGAAUAUUGGACAAUGGGCGCAAGCCUGAUCCAGCCAUGCCGCGUGAGUGAUGAAGGCCUUAGGGUUGUAAAGCUCUUUUACCAGGGAAGAUGAUGACGGUACCUGGAGAAUAAGCACCGGCUAACUUCGUGCCAGCAGCCGCGGUAAUACGAAGGGUGCUAGCGUUGUUCGGAAUUACUGGGCGUAAAGCGCGCGUAGGCGGCUUUUUAAGUCAGGGGUGAAAUCCUUGGGCUCAACCCAAGAAUUGCCCUUGAAACUGAAAAGCUUGAGUGUCGGAGGGGAUAGCGGAAUUCCUAAUGUAGAGGUGAAAUUCGUAGAUAUUAGGAGGAACACCGGUGGCGAAGGCGGCUAUCUGGACGACAACUGACGCUGAGGCGCGAAAGCGCGGGGAUCAAACA